RNAcentral lists this unclassified non-coding RNA (275 nucleotides) under Minimedusa polyspora. Its description in RNAcentral is "partial internal transcribed spacer region". The stretch from base 1 to 46 matches the Rfam family "Eukaryotic small subunit ribosomal RNA", at positions 1786 to 1831 of the family's 1831-position model. The record is from RNAcentral. Lineage: Eukaryota; Fungi; Basidiomycota; Agaricomycetes; Cantharellales; Hydnaceae.
AAGUCGUAACAAGGUUUCCGUAGGUGAACCUGCGGAAGGAUCAUUAAUGAAUUUUGGAGUUCUACUGUGCCUGCCGUUCAUUUGGAUGUGUGCACGUAGUCUCUAUAAAUCCUUAUCAACACCUGUGCACCUUUAAAAGGGGAAUCUGAUUAAGCUUUAACGGCUUAUGAGGAAUAACCUUUUUCUUACACAAACUCUUAAUGUCUAUUAGAAUGUUCUCUGGCCGCAAGGCUAUAAAAUAUAAACAACUUUUAACAACGGAUCUCUUGGCUCUC